Lutra lutra (Eurasian river otter) is the source of this 1317-nucleotide long non-coding RNA. RefSeq lists it as uncharacterized. The record is from RefSeq and is a predicted model, not a curated record. Lineage: Eukaryota; Metazoa; Chordata; Mammalia; Carnivora; Mustelidae. The transcript is spliced from 6 exons.
CUAGCUCCCCGCGGUUGGCUGUUUUUGUCGUUGGGACUGGUUUGGAUCCGGGACUGGCCGCCCCCGGUCGCCCCCGCCCCCACCUCGGCCGCCCGAGGCUUUUCUUCCCUCUCUUGCCCCUUCGCGGCGGUGCUCGAGGUUCUCUAGGUGUUUCUAUGACUACAUUGUGUGUGUGGGAGGGUCAGAUGUGGGGGGCUGCCCGCGAGAGGGCCGUUCCUGGGCGAUCAUUUAUCAAUGUCACCCACAUAAUGAUUCUCUCUGCAGCCUCCUAUUGAUGAGGAUAAUUACAUUAGCUCAGAGUGACUGAUCAAUGAAAAACCACCACACAAAAACUUCUUUACUCCUCUAUAAUACCAAAAACCGAUACAGAAAUAACAUAGAAAGCCUGAUUUUUCUUUCCCUUUCCUAUCCACCAAUAGAUUCUGCCCCCCCCUCCCCCAAAAAGGACUGGGAGUAAAGUAAGAAAAUAGACCCAGGUUUGUUUCGUUUAAAGGAGGAUGCAAUUUUGCCGUGAAUGCAUUUUCUCAAAAUGCGUUGGCUUCAUUCCUCCUUUGCUAAAGAAUAUCAACGGAUUUACUAAUAGAAUCUAGUCCAGGAAUAUCCAGUGUGUCAGAUCAAAUCCCAGCAACAAAGCUGCGCGAAACUGCAAAACCGGUCCUCGGAGCUCUGAGCGGCUGGGCUGUCACGUCCACCUAUAACAUCAGAGCGCCCCCUGCUGGCGAGCGGAGUAGACGGCGCCGUUGUGGCGCGCACAGGCGUCUUCUCGGUUUGCCAGUUACCCCGCGCGGACUCGGGACCCCUCGAAGGCGAGGGCGCGCAGAACCGCCCUGUGUCACAUCUUCUCCAACCCCUCCUCUUUGGGGAUGCUCCGAACCGGGUCGGGGACUAGAGGACGUCAGGGAAGGAGCGCUUCUAGGGCGAGGCAGAGGCGGCCCCGGUCUUCGCGCCCGGGAAGGGCUGCCUCCAGUCGGGGUGUGAUUUGAAGAAUUACUGGGGCUAUUGUGACAACGGAGAAUAAAGAAAAGAAAGCAGGUGUCCCCAGUGCAGUUGAAUCCAAGCAGCGACAUUUCCAGUAAGAUACUCUCACAGAUGAAGAAAAUGGGAACAUCUCAUUGUAUUUGUCUCAGUUUGACUUAAUGAAAUUUGGAGACACUGACAGUCUGGUCAAUGUUCUACGUAAAUUAAUGCAAAGGUCCUUAGGAAGAGACUGAAGACACCUCUUGCCAUUAAUCUUAAACCACUUGAAGAUUAUGAUUAAAUGAAUGGGAUCACUAAGCAUUAUCAUUUCAAAUAGCCGUUAACUGUCUCCACCCCUGU